AAGUCGUAACAAGGUUUCCGUAGGUGAACCUGCGGAAGGAUCAUUAACGAGUAAACAGGGGAGUUGUAGCUGGCCGCAAGGCAUGUGCAGCGCUCUCUACUCAAUCCAACCUUACACCUGUGCACCUAUUGUAGGUCGAGUGGCCGGACUUGUUCUGGUCGCUCUUCCUAUGUUUUACACAUACACUUGUAGUCUCAGAAUGUAAUCCGCGUAUAACGCAUUAUAAAACAA
Molecule: unclassified non-coding RNA, 231 nt
Filed under: plant metagenome
Description: partial contains small subunit ribosomal RNA and internal transcribed spacer 1
Rfam family: Eukaryotic small subunit ribosomal RNA (bases 1-46)
Source: RNAcentral